GAAUAUUGGACAAUGGGGGGAACCCUGAUCCAGCCAUGCCGCGUAUGUGAGGAAGGCCUUUUGGUUGUAAAGCACUUUAAGCGAGGAGGAGGCUACCUGGAUUAAUACUUUAGGAUAGUGGACGUUACUCGCAGAAUAAGCACCGGCUAACUCUGUGCCAGCCGCCGCGGUAAUACCGAGGGUGCGAGCGUUAAACGGAUUUACUGAGCGUAAAGCGUGCGUAGGCGGCCAAUUAAGUCAAAUGUGAAAUCCCCGAGCUUAACUUGGGAAUUGCAUUCGAUACUGGUUGGCUAGAGUAUGGGAGAGGAUGGUAGAAUUCCAGGUGUAGCGGUGAAAUGCGUAGAGAUCUGGAGGAAUACCGAUGGCGAAGGCAGCCAUCUGGCCUAAUACUGACGCUGAGGUACGAAAGCGUGGGGAGCAAACAG
This 425-nucleotide ribosomal RNA is filed under the name uncultured bacterium. Its description in RNAcentral is "partial 16S ribosomal RNA". It matches the Rfam family "Bacterial small subunit ribosomal RNA", at positions 359 to 775 of the family's 1533-position model. The record is from RNAcentral.